This 231-nucleotide small RNA is filed under the name Nannospalax galili (Upper Galilee mountains blind mole rat). RNAcentral describes it as "7SK RNA (ENSNGAG00000007156.1)". It matches the Rfam family "7SK RNA", at positions 1 to 239 of the family's 331-position model. Rfam says of the family: 7SK was discovered as an abundant small nuclear RNA in the mid-70s but a possible function has only recently been suggested. Two independent studies have found that 7SK RNA binds the CDK9/cyclin T complex (known as elongation factor P-TEFb). Lineage: Eukaryota; Metazoa; Chordata; Mammalia; Rodentia; Spalacidae. The record is from Rfam by way of RNAcentral.
AGAUGUGAAGGCAAUCUAGCUGUGACAUCUGUCACCCUAUUGAUUCAGCUGAUCUGGCUGGCUAGGCAGGUGUCCUUUUCCUGCCUCAGUGCUCCACUUGUGUCCUUUCCAAAGUUGUGUGCUCAAUCGAAGAGGAGAAGAGAACAAUCUUUCUCAAUAGAGGACUGGUCUUUGGUCAAAGGCAUGUGAGUGGCUGCGCUCCCCUGCUAGAAUGUCCAGACAAGCUCUUAU